GAUCCACCCGCCUCGGCCUCCCAAAGUGCUGGGAUUACAGGCAUGAACCACCACACCCCGCCCUAAUCUUCUCUUUUCAGACUACCUUAGCUCAAUUUUUCUACUGAUCAGUACAUGUCAACUUCUAAGUCACAUAUGUGUGUGUAGAAGCAUGAAAUUUACACAGGUUUCCAAGCUAGGCCCUUUCCUAUGCCUUCUCCUUACAGAUGCUGCCUAGUAACAUUAGCUAUUUUGCAUAUGCACACCAUAAACGAUCUGAGGGCAAGGGCUACAAUGAGUCUGCUGAUGUGAUCUUUUAGGAAACACUUAGGAUAAUAAAUCUUGAACGGUAGAGGUUAAAGAAAACUAGGUCAUAAAAUCAGAAUUUUCAAAGAGAAACAUUUGUUUGCAUAAUCCAGAAACACCUAAAUCUUUCACAUAACAGGUUCUUGAAGCUGCAUAUGUAAUACCUGAAAACUCAGCCUGUUACGAUAUUAAGAAUAAAUAAUGACUUUUAUAUACAACUUA
Molecule: long non-coding RNA, 507 nt
Organism: Sapajus apella (tufted capuchin)
Lineage: Eukaryota; Metazoa; Chordata; Mammalia; Primates; Cebidae
Exons: 2
Source: RefSeq, a predicted model, not a curated record